CCUACGGGAGGCAGCAGUUUGGAAUAUUGGACAAUGGGCGAAAGCCUGAUCCAGCCAUGCCGCGUGUGUGAAGAAGGUCUUCGGAUUGUAAAGCACUUUAAGUUGGGAGGAAGGGCAUUAACCUAAUACGUUAGUGUUUUGACGUUACCGACAGAAUAAGCACCGGCUAACUCUGUGCCAGCAGCCGCGGUAAU
This 194-nucleotide ribosomal RNA is filed under the name uncultured bacterium. Its description in RNAcentral is "partial 16S ribosomal RNA". It matches the Rfam family "Bacterial small subunit ribosomal RNA", at positions 338 to 524 of the family's 1533-position model. The record is from RNAcentral.